Molecule: long non-coding RNA, 1758 nt
Organism: Thamnophis sirtalis
Lineage: Eukaryota; Metazoa; Chordata; Lepidosauria; Squamata; Natricidae
Source: RefSeq, a predicted model, not a curated record
GUUUAAUACCACUAUUCAAAUUCAGUAAUUUCAACUUUAUAGUUAUUUUUUUCUUUUCUGACAUAAUCUGUUUGAUUUCAGAAACAACCUCAAUUAACAAUGAUAACAUUUCAGUUUUCUUUAAGGCAACUAAGGUUUCUAGUCCAUGCUGAAAAAUCAAAACAUACUUGAGUUAAUUAUUUUGCCAUUUGUGCAUAUACCAAAAAGAGAAAAUUAUCUCUAAUUGUUGAAAAUCAUUAAUAUAAAUUGUCACAACUCAACUAUUGUAAAGUGCUCUGCACAGGGCUGUACUUGAAGAUCACAUAGAAGCAGGAGAUCCUAUACCAUUUCAGCCAAGUAGCUGCCCAGUCUCUUGUUAAAGACCUCCAGUGAUGAAGCAUCAACAACUUUUGAAGUCAAAUGGUUCCACUGGUUAAUUGUCCUCACUGUUAGAAAGUUUCUCCUUAAUUCCAGGUUGCUUCUCUCCUUGAUUAGUUUCCAUCCAUUGUUUCUUGUCCUGCUUGGGGCGUCGGCAUGAUAUUCAUGAUGCUUGUUAUGACCUAUAAAGCCUUACAUGGUAUAGGGCCCUUGAGGAGCUGCCUGUCUCCCAUACUGUUUGUCCAGCCAAUUCAAGCCAAGAGGCCAGCUUUAAUCCACUCUACAAAUACUAAUACUACUUUGGUUUCCUUUUAAUUACUUUGCUUUUCCCCCCUCAAUUAAGUUCCAACAGUUGUACCACAAACUGAAGAAAAUUUCCAGCCAUUACACAUCCUUUGUUCUGCUGUGUCAGUCCUUGGCAUCCUUUUCCUACUGUCUAUAGUCAUUGGAAUUUUUUGCUACAAGAAGCGUCGACGUGACAACAGAGCAGCAACAAAGAGUAACCCCAAUUCCAGCUUGGAUAAUGCUGAAAAAUGCCCACUGAAAGAGAUAGAAGGAGUUCCACCACUCAACAACACUGCUGGUGAAGAGCGCACGGGAGACAUCCCAACUUCUCAGGACAUCAGAGAGGGAAAAACAACCUCCUGAGAACCACCAAAUCAACAUCUACCUCUCAAAAUGGAUCAAAUUUGAUGUUGUUUGAGAAGCACUCCAAAGGAAGAUUGAGUGCUAAAAUGGACUCAGACAGCCACAAGGUGGUAGAGGAAAAAAAAAGCAUUUCAGAAGAAAUUCCCCUAAGGGACAAACUUUUUGUUUCAGAAUCUGUUAGGCUGGCGGUCCUACUGUGUAAGGCAGAUCCUAAAGUAUCAUGCAUUUAUUUCCAGGUGGAGCUUCAAGGACUAGAUGAAAGCUACUUAUGGUAAUUUUAAAUCUUCUAGCUGAAGAUAGGAUGUUGAAAUUUGAUCUGGUAGCCGAUACUGGUGAAUUACAAAGCCUAAGGUGGCUAUUUCUCUCUGAAGGCUUUCAACUAAUAGACCAGUUCUCCAGAAAAGGAGGAUUAUCCAUAUGUGCUCCAGACUGCGAUUCCAUACAAAGAAAUCACAGGAUAGCUGUUUUCCAUGGUUUGAAUGCCAGGAGGCAAAGAUGAUUACCGGUAAUCAUCAAGCUCACGUGCCCCCUCUACAGGCAAAAUCAGGAAGGUGUUUGUUCGGAGCUAAACUUGUCAGUUUCGGCUUACCUAAUUAAGUUGCUUAUUUGGAGUCUCUUUGCUUAUAAAUAGAUUGGCCCAGUCUUUUUGAAUGGGUACAAAAUCUCCAUUUGUAAAGAUUUCAGGCUUCUGCUUGAAGCCGUUUUCCUGUAGCAGGAAGACUGGGGCUGCUUUCUGCCCUUUAAGAACACGUU